RNAcentral lists this ribosomal RNA (485 nucleotides) under uncultured bacterium. RNAcentral describes it as "partial 16S ribosomal RNA". It matches the Rfam family "Bacterial small subunit ribosomal RNA", at positions 29 to 523 of the family's 1533-position model. The record is from RNAcentral.
AGUGAACGCUGGCGGCGUGCUUAACACAUGCAAGUCGAACGAGAACGGGAUAUAGCUUGCUAUAUUUGUCAGCUAAGUGGCGCACGGGUGAGUAAUGUAUAGAUAACCUGCCCUCUAGAAAGGAAUAACAGUUGGAAACGACUGCUAAUGCCCUAUAUGCCUUUAAUACAUAAGUAUGCAAGGGAAACGCUUUAGUGCUAGAGGAUGGGUCUGUAUGGUAUCAGCUUGUUGGUGAGGUAAUGGCUCACCAAGGCUAUGACGCCUAACUGGUUUGAGAGGAUGGUCAGUCACACUGGAACGGAGACACGGUCCAGACUCCUACGGGAGGCAGCAGUGGGGAAUAUUGCACAAUGGACGAAAGUCUGAUGCAGCAACGCCGCGUGGAGGAUGACACAUUUCGGUGCGUAAACUCCUUUUAUAUAGGAAGAUAAUGACGGUAUUAUAUGAAUAAGCUCCGGCUAACUCCGUGCCAGCCGCCGCCGUAA